RNAcentral lists this ribosomal RNA (1205 nucleotides) under metagenome. RNAcentral describes it as "bacterial LSU rRNA". It matches the Rfam family "Bacterial large subunit ribosomal RNA", at positions 1740 to 2925 of the family's 2925-position model. The record is from RNAcentral.
AUGAAGGGGGACCCUCAUACCGUCAUGGCCUUCGCGGCCGGCAGCGGGAGGGGGUCGCAGAAACCAGUGAGAAGCGACUGUUUACUAAAAACACAGGUCCGUGCGAAGUCGCAAGACGAUGUAUACGGACUGACGCCUGCCCGGUGCUGGAAGGUUAAGAGGACCGGUUAACCCUUCGGGGUGAAGCUGAGAAUUUAAGCCCCAGUAAACGGCGGUGGUAACUAUAACCAUCCUAAGGUAGCGAAAUUCCUUGUCGGGUAAGUUCCGACCUGCACGAAUGGCGUAACGACUUCUCAACUGUCUCAACCAUAGACUCGGCGAAAUUGCAUUACGAGUAAAGAUGCUCGUUACGCGCGGCAGGACGAAAAGACCCCGGGACCUUCACUAUAGCUUGGUAUUGAUGUUCGAUGCGGUUUGUGUAGGAUAGGUGGGAGACUGCGAAGCUCGCACGCAAGUGUGGGUGGAGUCGUUGUUGAAAUACCACUCUGAUCGUAUUGGACCUCUAACUUCGAACCAUGAAGCUGGUUCAGGGACAGUGCCUGGUGGGUAGUUUAACUGGGGCGGUUGCCUCCUAAAAUGUAACGGAGGCGCCCAAAGGUUCCCUCAACCUGGACGGCAAUCAGGUGUUGAGUGUAAGUGCACAAGGGAGCUUGACUGCGAGACUGACAAGUCGAGCAGGGACGAAAGUCGGGACUAGUGAUCCGGCACCUCUGAGUGGAAGGGGUGUCGCUCAACGGAUAAAAGGUACCCCGGGGAUAACAGGCUGAUCUUCCCCAAGAGUCCAUAUCGACGGGAUGGUUUGGCACCUCGAUGUCGGCUCGUCGCAUCCUGGGGCUGGAGCAGGUCCCAAGGGUUGGGCUGUUCGCCCAUUAAAGCGGCACGCGAGCUGGGUUUAGAACGUCGUGAGACAGUUCGGUCUCUAUCCGCCGCGCGCGUCAGAAUCUUGAGGAGACCUGUCCCUAGUACGAGAGGACCGGGACGGACGAACCUCUGGUAUACCAGUUGUCCCACCAGGGGCACGGCUGGAUGGCUACGUUCGGACAGGAUAACCGCUGAAAGCAUCUAAGCGGGAAACCUACUCCAAGACCAGGAUUCUCACCCUUUUAGAGGGAUAAGGCCCCCCGCAGACCACGGGAUUGAUAGACCAGACCUGUACGCGCAGUAAUGUGUUUAGGGAACUGGCACUAACCGGCCGAAAACUUGCC